This 253-nucleotide ribosomal RNA is filed under the name uncultured bacterium. RNAcentral describes it as "partial 16S ribosomal RNA". It matches the Rfam family "Bacterial small subunit ribosomal RNA", at positions 524 to 776 of the family's 1533-position model. The record is from RNAcentral.
UACAGAGGGUGCAAGCGUUAAUCGGAGUUACUGGGCGUAAAGGGCGCGUAGGUGGUUAUGUGUGUGAGACGUGAAAGCCCCGGGCUUAACCUGGGAAUGUCGUCUUAAACUGCAUGACUAGAGUACUGUAGAGGGCAGUGGAAUUUCCGGUGUAGCGGUGAAAUGCGUAGAGAUCGGAAGGAACACCAGUGGCGAAGGCGGCUACCUGGACAGAUACUGACACUGAGGCGCGAAAGCGUGGGGAGCAAACAGG